GUUUGUAGGAUUUGAAGACCAUUGGGGAUUCUGGAGGUAUCCUGACCCAGUUGAGUAACUACACAAACUGUACUGUAGUACAAUAUUUGAAAUCAGACUUCGGUUAUGUUUUAUUUUUCUUGUUAUGUUGUACUGUUAAUUAUUAUUAUUAUUUUUUUUUUUUCUGUUUCUAUAUCCAUCCUCUUUGGUCUAGUUGCUUAGCGUAUUGAUUUUUGCACUCGGUGUUUCAUACCUUAAGGGGGAACAUUUCAUUUAGCACACUGGGGUUAUUUUGGAGCUGUAGAGAACCAUUGGUUAACAUUAAUAGUAUAGCUAGCAAUGCUGUGUAUAUUAAACCGAAUUAGUAAAAAAAAUAAAAAUAAAUGUGCAUCAAAUAUCAAUAUACAGUACACCUCUAAAGUUGACCUGAGUUAUAGUUGGAGUUAUAGACCUGAGUUAUCUUAAUCAAAUCAGUUGCUGUAAGCAGUAUUGAAUAGCUAAUUAGAUAGGUUUAAGCAUCAGCCAAGAGACUCGAUCAGAUAUUUGUGUUGUUAGUCUUAAAUUAGAAAUGACUGAAUGUCAAGUAUUCUUAUUGCUACCGUUCCUUCUGUUUUUGCAAAUUGUUUGCUUUAUUUGUUUAUUAUUUACUUGGCUGAUAUAUGCCACAUUAUGCAUUCAUGUAAACCGUUACACCAUGGGUUAGAGGUGUGCAUGGAACUUUUUUGUUUGUUUGUUUGGUUGGUUUUUGUUGUUGUUGUUUUUUAUUUCACUCCCACCCACUCCCAAAGUAAUUCUGACAAUCCUGCCCACUUCCUCAGAAUGUCUGACCAAUCCCGACCCACUUUCUCAGAAACGUUCACCAAUCCCAACCCGCCUCAGAGGAGUUCUGACCAAUCUGACCCACUUUCUCAGAAACGUUUACCAAUCCCACCCCACUCCUAAAGGAAUUCUGACCAAUCCGACCCACUUUCUCAGAAGCGUUUACCAAUCCCAACCCGCCUCAAAGGAGUUCUGACCAAUCCGACCCUCUUCCUCAGAAACAUUGACCAAUCCCAACCUGCACCUAAAGGAAUUCUAACCACUCCUGACCCACUUCCUCAGAAUGUCUGACCAAUCCUGCCCUGUUGCCACAGAAAUUCUGAAAUUCCAAUCCUACCGCUUCUGCAGAAUGUCUGAUCAAUCCUUCCAUUUUCCUCAGGAAGUUUGACCAAUCCAUUUUCCACAGAAUGUUUGACCAAACCCAACCCACUCCCAAAAGGAAUUCUGACCAAUCCUACCCACUUCCUCAGAACAUCUGACCAAUCCUAACCCACAUUCAGAGGAAUUCUGACCAAUCCCACUUCUGCAGAACGUCUGACCAAUCCUGCCCGGCCCCACAGUUAUCAUUUUGUUUGCUCUUCCCAAAACAUCUUCUAAAAGAUUUAGUUGGUUCUUUUUUCCAAAAAAUAUAAAUGACUCAUACGAACUAUCUUCCUUGAUAACUCGGGAUAAAAUCACUGAAAACGAAUGAAGCAAUGUGCUAAAUACGACACUCAUUGCAGCACCCAGUACACUGCCAUGUUCAUCAACAUGGCCUUCCUUUGUUCCGUACGUUUCAUAUCUGACUGCCCGAUGCACUUCCCUCUCUACCGUACAUGAAAAGCCAGUAUGGCAAAACCCACAUGAUAGUGACUGACAUGAAUCCUAUAACAUUAUGACUACGUCUGAAAAAAUAUAUAAUUCAGCACUUUAGAUAAUUAUCAAACCUUGUGUGACUUGUUUAAAAUGUAGUAAAGCUUUUCGAUGUUUAUGCAUUAGUGCCUUCUUUUAGCCAUCAUUGUUAUUCUUGAGUAAUUACAUAAUUGGCUGAGUUUACAGCAAUCCGAUGUUGGUGACAGCAGAUCUAAAGUAUUAAAUAUAUAUUGGUUUCAUAUCACUGUUGGUUUUAAACCUGUACCUGAACACAUACUUCCUUUGCAUUUAUACCCUACUUAUUCAUUAUGGCAGAUCAACAAUCAAAAGUGAACUGUCAUUAUUUUCUACCCUACUGUAUAACCCCCAGCCCUCCAAUCCUCCCCACCCCCCCCCAAAACCCACCCCCGCCUUCACUUGCCUACCCGUCAUGUUGCCUGCCUCUUGUACAGUUUAAAAUGAAAAAAAAGCAUUGUACACAGCCAUGCUAUUUAUACAGAAAGUGUGUUUAAUUUUACAAUAAAGAUAAACUGCAGAAUAAACGGCUGCGCUGGAUUCAUACGUUUUCUCUCUUUCAUUAUUCAGAGCAGAGAAAUGACUAGAAGAUCACAACGCAGUGCUGCAAUUAUGGUUAAUAAGUCAAACUGGAAAUCCCUUCGUCCUGGAGACUUUCCCAUGUCGGGAAGCGUAUCGGCUGUGCGCUGACGCUGGAGACUCCUUCCCAUCUUUUGGAUCGAGCUGAAAAGGACUGGACUGAACUGGUGCUGUCUGAUGUAUCCAGGUAAGAGCUGUUGCUACGGUCAUCUAGACAUGCCCACACGCCUUGACGACAACAGCCUUUGAGAGCUCGCCUGUUCGUAACGUAACAGAAGCUGUCAGUGAAAUAUCUACUCAGAAGAGGAAAUCCUGUCCCUCUGGCCUCACAGGGUCGUUAAACAGGACGGGGAAAAAAACACGAUAUGGACCACUAACGUGCAGCCAAUUAGGACAAGGCAUUGUCUUCACAUAUAUGAUUUAGACUUUUUUAGGGUGAUUUUUAUUUUUUAUUUUUUUUUGAGGACUUUCUACUAAAGACAAAAACAGUUUUUGCUGAUUUCUGCCAGAAAUUUGAGAAUAACCCUUUGUUUACACCAGCAUGCGACAACGUCAUUUACAAUGUCUUCUGCUACUUCUGCACAUCAAACUCUAAACGAAAACAAACUGCCGUGUAGGAGCUGAAGAAACAGAAGAAAUGUUGGACCACAUGUGCCAUAGGAUUGUCUGAGGAAUCAUUCGAGCAAGUUGUUUGGAUUUGUUAGUUUACCGUAUCAUACGGUCCCCUCCGAAAUUAUUGGAACAGCAAGGCCAAUUCUUUUGUCUCAUCGUGUGGUACGGGAACUGCACAGCCUCAGACCGCAAGGCCCUACAGCGAAUUCUGAGGACACCUGAAAAAUCAUCAGGGUCUCUCUACCCACCAUCGACACCUCAUUCAACGACCCCUGCAUCCGCAAUACCCUUCUCACCUAUCUCAUGGACUCUUCACCCUCCUGCCAUCUGGUAGAAGGUACGGGAGCAUCC
Long non-coding RNA from Ictalurus punctatus (channel catfish), 3207 nucleotides. NCBI's taxonomy places the organism in Eukaryota, Metazoa, Chordata, Actinopteri, Siluriformes, Ictaluridae. The record is from Ensembl.